GAUGAACGCUGGCGGCGUGCCUAAUACAUGCAAGUCGAGCGAACAGAUGAGGAGCUUGCUCCUCUGACGUUAGCGGCGGACGGGUGAGUAACACGUGGAUAACCUACCUAUAAGACUUGGAUAACUUCGUGAAACCGGAGCUAAUACCGGAUAAUAUAUUGAACCGCAUGGUUCAAUAGUGAAAGACGGUUUUGCUGUCACUUAUAGAUGGAUCCGCGCCGCAUUAGCUAGUUGGUAAGGUAACGGCUUACCAAGGCAACGAUGCGUAGCCGACCUGAGAGGGUGAUCGGCCACACUGGAACUGAGACACGGUCCAGACUCCUACGGGAGGCAGCAGUAGGGAAUCUUCCGCAAUGGGCGAAAGCCUGACGGAGCAACGCCGCGUGAGUGAUGAAGGUCUUCGGAUCGUAAAACUCUGUUAUUAGGGAAGAACAAAUGUGUAAGUAACUAUGCACGUCUUGACGGUACCUAAUCAGAAAGCCACGGCUAACUACGUG
Molecule: ribosomal RNA, 497 nt
Filed under: uncultured bacterium
Lineage: Bacteria
Description: partial 16S ribosomal RNA
Rfam family: Bacterial small subunit ribosomal RNA
Source: RNAcentral